Molecule: ribosomal RNA, 253 nt
Filed under: uncultured bacterium
Lineage: Bacteria
Description: partial 16S ribosomal RNA
Rfam family: Bacterial small subunit ribosomal RNA
Source: RNAcentral
GACAGAGGGUGCAAACGUUGUUCGGAAUUACUGGGCGUAAAGCGCGUGUAGGCGGCCCUGCAAGUCGGGUGUGAAAUCCCAUGGCUCAACCAUGGAAGUGCACUCGAAACUGCAGGGCUAGAGUCCUGGAGAGGAAGGUGGAAUGCUUGGUGUAGAGGUGAAAUUCGUAGAUAUCGAGAGGAACAUCGGUGGCGAAGGCGGCCUUCUGGACGGUGACUGACGCUGAGAUGCGAAAGCGUGGGGAGCAAACAGG